GCAGCUGGCGUGAUGGCUCAAGCACGGUAUCGACCGAUGGAGAGGGAGGUGGGGGCGUGCUCGACCUAUCAACAUAUGCAUGGCAUCUAUCUCGAGAAACUCUCAGUCGAUCCCUGCCUCUGGUCUUUUCAUGCUGAUCGACGUGCUGCUCAUUGGGUCAGUGCGACAUGUCUUCCAGCUCGCUCAUCCUUUGUAGUAUAGAUGCAUCAUCUACGGAGAGGUCGAAGUUCGAGAAACUAGGGUAUGAGAUGUGUUGGAAA
RNAcentral lists this long non-coding RNA (260 nucleotides) under Elaeis guineensis (African oil palm). RNAcentral describes it as "long non-coding RNA (EGUI_LNC047710)". The record is from RNAcentral. Lineage: Eukaryota; Viridiplantae; Streptophyta; Magnoliopsida; Arecales; Arecaceae.